CGGGAGAUGGCUGAGUGGUCGAAAGCGGCGGUCUUGAAAACCGUUGAGGGUCACACCUCCGGGGGUUCGAAUCCCUCUCUCCCGGCCA
Molecule: transfer RNA, 88 nt
Filed under: Helicobacter sp.
Lineage: Bacteria; Pseudomonadati; Campylobacterota; Epsilonproteobacteria; Campylobacterales; Helicobacteraceae
Also listed under: 20 other names
Description: tRNA-Ser
Rfam family: tRNA
About the family: Transfer RNA (tRNA) molecules are approximately 80 nucleotides in length.
Source: RNAcentral